Triticum urartu is the source of this 212-nucleotide non-coding RNA. The record is from RefSeq and is a predicted model, not a curated record. NCBI's taxonomy places the organism in Eukaryota, Viridiplantae, Streptophyta, Magnoliopsida, Poales, Poaceae.
CAGACUCCCUUAGCCCGCCAGCAUGCUGCAUAUAAGGAGUUUGUCGAGCAUAGGAAUCUCGAGGUGCGGGAGUACUUGAAACGAGUGAAGGCAAACGAUGAUUACAACCGUCAGAUGAUGACGGCUAUGUUGGCGUCUUGGACUAACCGCACGGAUCCACCACAAAUGGGACCCCCACCACCACCUGCGGGAGAACCCCCACACGUGCCCAC